GUAAUUGUCAGGUGAGCCGGGACAGCCUUCUUCCUCCGCCCAGCCGCCACAGUAAUUUGUCGUCAAGUUUGCCGCAGGAGGAUAUUUUAUUCUGGGUUAACCUGCUUUUAUACUUCGCAGGUUGUUUAUCGAUAUUUGUGUAAUUUUAUUUACUCCUAGAAUUUUCGCAUGUGUUAGCAGUAAUUAUUUGAAUUUGGUCUGUAAUAUUAUUAUCAUGUUGGACCUGUAAACUUAAUAUUUUAAGUCUGUUUUGAUGGAUUGGAUGAGGGAGCUGAGCUCCCAUUUAUUAUUA
This is a long non-coding RNA of Hevea brasiliensis (rubber tree), 292 nucleotides long. RefSeq lists it as uncharacterized. The transcript has 2 exons. The record is from RefSeq and is a predicted model, not a curated record. Lineage: Eukaryota; Viridiplantae; Streptophyta; Magnoliopsida; Malpighiales; Euphorbiaceae.